CCUACGGGUGGCAGCAGUGAGGAAUAUUGGUCAAUGGGCGAGAGCCUGAACCAGCCAAGUCGCGUGAGGGAGUACUGCCCUAUGGGUUGUAAACCUCUUUUGUCGGGGAGCAAAAGCCGGACGUGUCCGGCUGUGAGAUUACCCGAAGAAAAAGCAUCGGCUAACUCCGUGCCAGCAGCCGCGGUAAUACGGAGGAUGCGAGCGUUAUCCGGAUUUACUGGGUGUAAAGGGUGCGCAGGAGGAUUUUUAAGUCAGAGGUGAAAGGGUACGGCUCAACCCUAGCAAGCCGUUGAAACUGGGGAACUUGAGUGCAGGAGAGGAGAGUGGAAUUCGUGGUGUAGCGGUGAAAUGCGUAGAUAUUAGGAGGAACACCAGUUGCGAAGGCGGCACUCUGG
Molecule: ribosomal RNA, 395 nt
Filed under: uncultured bacterium
Lineage: Bacteria
Description: partial 16S ribosomal RNA
Rfam family: Bacterial small subunit ribosomal RNA
Source: RNAcentral